This 488-nucleotide ribosomal RNA is filed under the name uncultured Beggiatoa sp. Its description in RNAcentral is "bacterial SSU rRNA". It matches the Rfam family "Bacterial small subunit ribosomal RNA", at positions 8 to 494 of the family's 1533-position model. Lineage: Bacteria; Pseudomonadati; Pseudomonadota; Gammaproteobacteria; Thiotrichales; Thiotrichaceae. The record is from RNAcentral.
AGAGUUUGAUCAUGGCUCAGAUUGAACGCUGGCGGCGUGCUUAACACAUGCAAGUCGUGCGGUAACAGGCGUAGCAAUACGUGCUGACGAGCGGCGAACGGGUGCGUAAUACAUGGGAAUCUGCCUUUUAGUGGGGAAUAACCCGGCGAAAGCCGGGCUAAUGCCGCAUAAGAUCUUCGGAUGAAAGCGGGGGAUCGUAAGACCUCGCGCUGAUAGAUGAGCCCAUGUCGGAUUAGCUAGUUGGUGAGGUAACGGCUCACCAAGGCGACGAUCCGUAGCUGGUCUGAGAGGAUGGCCAGCCACACUGGGACUGAGACACGGCCCAGACUCCUACGGGAGGCAGCAGUGGGGAAUAUUGGACAAUGGGGGAAACCCUGAUCCAGCGACGCCGCGUGUGUGAAGAAGGCCUGCGGGUUGUAAAGCACUUUCGGUGGGAACGAAAUAUGCCGGGCUAAUACCCCGGUAGGCUGACGUACUCAAGAAGAGCC